CCCAGUGUGCGGGUGAUGUUUGGACACAUUCGUCUCAAGAGAUGCGCCUUUCAGAGCCCAGUCCCUGCCCCUUAGGGCUUAUUUGUGAGCCAGACCCGACCCUUAAAACCAGCUGGUCACCUGCCACCCGGCAGACGGCAAACAAGCAAACCUUCCCUACAAAGCUUCCCAGACUCCUUUUAUGGCAAAUGCGUUGAAAACCAGCUCACUGUCUGGCCGCCACCCCAGCUGCCCCAAGCCUCUUCGCUCUGUCCCUCCUCCGUCUCCACCACACCACCAAGGAACUCAAAGGAAACGCAAGGUCAGUUCCGAGGAGACGCCUUUGUUGCCACAGUAGACACCUAGGAACGGAAUGGCUAGAUCCUAUACGAGUUUUGUAUUGUAUUAAACCUGCCAAUUGUUUUCCAAAGUGGUGACAUCAUCCUACAUUUCCCGGAGCCACGCUGAUCUGAGAUUGUGCGUGAGUUCGUGUUUUGAUUUUAUUUUAUAGGAUUGGGAACAUAAGAUAGAUGUGACGGCUGAUUCCCGAAGAGAAGAAGUAACUUCAAGUCAAGGACUUUGCAGCCUCACUUUUAUUCAGAACUCUAGUCUUAAUUCUGUUUGCUUUUGAGCUUUAUGACAGGAUUUUGAUUCCAAUCUCUGCCCACUGUUUCCCCCUCAAUAAAGCAGAAGACCGACUGUGACCUUCAAGGCUUCCUCUAGGUGCAUUCCAGCCCAUCCUCAGGCCUUUCACUGCACUCUGAACAAGUAGUGUCCACACCAAGAGGGCCCAUGCUGGUCUCUGUGGCCCACCUUUGCAGGGUCCCUCUGCCAGGGAUGCCAUGGCAUCUGCCUCUUCUGUCUACUUCUUCCAGAAAGACCUCUACUGCCUACAUUUGACUCUGACCUCAAUGGCCACCUCCUCCAGGAAGCCUUCUCUGAUUACCCCAGCUCCCUGUGCAGGUUCUUCGGCCACCAGCGCAGUUCUCACCAUCCUGGGUCUGAGAUGAAAACACCCUGGGUAUGAUUCGCAGUACAAGGGUGGCGACCAGAGAGGAUUUUAGUGUAUUUAACAACAUGGCAACAGAUACAUAAAAUAAAGCCCACAUGGUGCCCAAUGAGAUGCAAACCUGAGGGAAAAAUGAGCAUCUCAUUAGUGAUCUGUGGGACAAUUUCAAGUGGUCUUCAAGGGCUACUAGGAGAGAGGGGACACAUAGUAUAAUACUAAAGAAACAAUGGCUGAAGUUUCACUAAGUUUGAUUUAAAAAAAAACAACCCUAUAUAUCCCAGAUCCAAGAAGGCCAACUAAGACUCAGGCACAAGAAACACGAAGGAAAGUACAAUGAGCUGUACUUGUGGAAAAGCUGUUGUAAACAUCCAUGUGCAGGUGUGAGUGUACAUUUUCAAUUCCUUUAGGGAAGCAUCCGAAUCACGGGAGUUAUCGCUAGACUGUGUGUUAAGUGUGUGUUCAGGUCUGUAGAAACCGCCGAACUAGCCUCAAAAUGCUCACGCCGUUCUGCAUUCCCACAGGUAAUAAACAGGAUUCCUGUUGCUCCCCAUCCUUGCCAGAGUGUGGCAUUAGCCGUGUUUAUUUUGGGCCAUACCCACAGGUGUGUAGUUGCAUCUCCUUGUUGUUUUUACAUUUGUAAUUCCCUAGCGUAUGGUACUGCAAAUCACUUUAUACCUUUAUUGGCCAUCUGUCUUCCCUGGUGAGGCAUUUUCUCUAACCCAUUUCUAAAUUGUUUUUAUUGUUGAUUUGUAAGAGUUCUUUGUGUAGUUGGAAGAAUAAUCCUGUAUCAGGGAUGAAUUUUGCAAAUCUUUUCUCCCAGCAAAACGACCUUUGGAAAAAGCAGUUCUAAUCACAUCGCUCUCACUCAGAACCCUUCAGUGGCAUCUUGGCCUCUUCGGUAUAAAAUCCAAAUUCCUGAGCUUGACCCAAUGAAAAUGAAACCCAACUCUGCAGUCCCAGCCUCAGCUUUUCUCACUUUCCCCGGAAACACACGCGCUUGGUUGUAGUCACACUGGGCCAGCUUCCGCCGCCAAACUCCUGCAUGAGACAUGGGCUGGCUGCAUUUUCACUAGGAGCUGCCUUAGCUGUGAGGACAGUAAGGGAGGGGGUGCUAGGCUAAUGAUGACAGUUCCCUUUUGCCUGUCUUGCAGCUCAGCUCAAAUGCUACCUUCACCACAUAAGCCACUUAGAUUGCCGCUGCUGUCCCUGACCUCCCAUAGCCCUCUGUUCCCUCUUAAGAGAGCUGCUUCUACUCACUUCUUGCCCGUCACUGCGAUCCUCGGUGUCUUUGUGCUCAGUUUCCCUGGGAGCCUCUGGAGUUGGGGGCAUGUUUUCCUUCACCUGUCUUUCCCAGAGCAGGGCAGGGCCGGGAGUCAGAACCGAGUGGAAGGUGCUUCUGGUGCCAGCGCCCCACCAAACCGAGCUAUGGCGCUGCACUGUGGAAGGGUUUGUCUUCUCGUAGAUCCAACACCUGUGUGUCCCCAGCCCCACCUUCAGGGCCAAGGAUGACGAGGGCUGUGCUGUUGCCUGCACCUUGGUUUGGAAGGAAGUGAACCGGAAGUCUCGGGAAAGGGGUUACCAAGUCCCCAGGACCAUGGGACUGUAGGGCACCUGGGUCCCCACAUCAGUCGAGGCCUAUGGCUGGGAUGAACUGGGGUCCCCGCCAAGCCCCCCUCUUCCUCUGCUUGACAGAGCCCCAUGACUUCCUGGCAAUUGUGGACCUGCAUGUGUGGCCGGGGAAGAGGGGGGGAGCGCCCCAGAGUCAGGCCGGGCCUGGAGCUGCGGCCCUGGACUCUAGCUCUUUGGCCUGCAAAUUUCAGAUGCAGCCCUUGGCCCCUUGUGUAAGACAGAGCGUGUGAUAGCAGGGUACGGUGGCCUUGAUGCUGUUGUGAGGCCAAUUCAGCAGCAGCAGCUGGGGAGCCUGAUGUAAAUGCAGGGGAGACAGAUGAGAUAGGAAAUCCCGACAGGUGGAAGCGAUUGUCUAUUUGUGCUGUUGCUCUGUGUGUGUGGUGUCUCCGAGGUGGGGAGAGGGCUGAAUUGUUUUAGCCCUUGACAAGGGUCACAGAGUCCUUUCAAGCCUGCUAGCAUUGGGCGUGGUGAAGGAGGGA
Long non-coding RNA from Heterocephalus glaber (naked mole-rat), 3096 nucleotides. RefSeq lists it as uncharacterized. The record is from RefSeq and is a predicted model, not a curated record. NCBI's taxonomy places the organism in Eukaryota, Metazoa, Chordata, Mammalia, Rodentia, Bathyergidae.